GUGCCAGCCGCCGCGGUAAUACGUAGGGGGCGAGCGUUGUCCGGAUUUACUGGGCGUAAAGCGCGUGUAGGUGGGAGAGCAAGUCCGGUGGGAAAGCCCGCGGCUCAACCGCGGAAGGACGCUGGAAACUGCUUUUCUUGAGGGUGAUAGAGGGAAGUGGAAUUGCUGGUGUAGCGGUGAAAUGCGUAGAUAUCAGCAGGAACACCCGUGGCGAAGGCGGCUUCCUGGAUCACCCCUGACGCUGAGACGCGAAAGCGUGGGGAGCGAACGGGAUUAGAUACCCUGGUAGUCC
RNAcentral lists this ribosomal RNA (292 nucleotides) under uncultured bacterium. RNAcentral describes it as "partial 16S ribosomal RNA". It matches the Rfam family "Bacterial small subunit ribosomal RNA", at positions 505 to 796 of the family's 1533-position model. The record is from RNAcentral.